This 551-nucleotide ribosomal RNA is filed under the name uncultured compost bacterium. RNAcentral describes it as "bacterial SSU rRNA". It matches the Rfam family "Bacterial small subunit ribosomal RNA", at positions 355 to 897 of the family's 1533-position model. The record is from RNAcentral.
UAGGGAAUAUUCCGCAAUGGGCGAAAGCCUGACGGAGCGACGCCGCGUGAGCGAUGAAGGUCUUCGGAUCGUAAAGCUCUGUUGUUAGGGAAGAACAAGUACCGGAGUAACUGCCGGUACCUUGACGGUACCUAACCAGAAAGCCCCGGCUAACUACGUGCCAGCAGCCGCGGUAAUACGUAGGGGGCGAGCGUUGUCCGGAAUUAUUGGGCGUAAAGGGCGCGUAGGCGGUCUCUUAAGUCUGAUGUGAAAGCCCCCGGCUUAACCGGGGAGGGUCAUUGGAAACUGGGAGACUUGAGUGCAGGAGAGGGAAGCGGAAUUCCAUGUGUAGCGGUGAAAUGCGUAGAGAUAUGGAGGAACACCAGUGGCGAAGGCGGCUUCCUGGCCUGUAACUGACGCUGAGGCGCGAAAGCGUGGGGAGCAAACAGGAUUAGAUACCCUGGUAGUCCACGCCGUAAACGAUGAGUGCUAGGUGUUAGGGAGUUUCCACUCCUUAGUGCUGCAGUUAACGCAUUAAGCACUCCGCCUGGGGAGUACGGCCGCAAGGCUGA